Podarcis lilfordi (Lilford's wall lizard) is the source of this 1060-nucleotide non-coding RNA. The record is from the annotation of a GenBank genome assembly. Lineage: Eukaryota; Metazoa; Chordata; Lepidosauria; Squamata; Lacertidae.
GCCCUGGAGCGGCAGUAAAGAGACAAUAAAGAAACACUGGUACACUAGUGCCAGAGAUAGUUGUUGUCCAUGUUUCAGGACCACGGACCUCUUUGAGCUGUCCCUUUGCAUCAGCACCAGGACCCUUCAGACAGGAGAUCCUAUCUGCUAGUGCUUCAGCACAGAGAGUGGCUCAGAAGAUCAGGCUGCCGAUUUGCUUUCAUAUUAGCAAUUUCCUCACUCGGAAGGCCAGCUUAGGUAGCCUUAUCACUCUGUACCUUGUUGGGGGGAUUUUAUAUAAAAAUAAGAACCGGGCUAUGGAGAUGCAGGAAAUUAAUUCAUCACAGAGUCCAGUUUUAUUUCCCAUCAUGUAUGCUGACAGCAGAUGUUUUGUGGAAUAAUUUCCUUGUAAUGCCCUGCCAUCCAUCCCAUUAGCCCAUAUACAUAAUUCAUACACAUUAGCCUAACCUCACUCGGUUUAAUUUAUUCUGGCUCUUUUUCAGUCUGGGGUAAAAUCUUCCAUGACGAUAGGAGCUUUCUCCCAUAGGUGUAUCCUCAGUUUAAGCUGCUGCUAAGCCAGGUAAGGGAGGGGGUCACCUCACUGGAAAUGGAGCAAACCGGAGAGAGAGAAAAAUGAGAUGCUGGCUGAGGUUAAGAUUUCCCAGAUCUUUGAAUGCAAAGAAAAUCAUUCCUCCCAUGUUCUUUUCACUGGCCAUUUUCUAAGAUUUAGCAAGGCGCAUAAUGUCACAAUAAAGCAAUGGCAAUAUAUGAAGAGUCCAAAGGUAACAAGUCUCACAAUUUUCUGCAGAAAACUGCAUGUGCUUUUCACAUCCUUUAUAAAACCGGAGAUGGGGAAAAGGGGGUGGGCCUCCUCAUUGAGGAUGGGGGAGGGAAAUUCGAUUCAGUUUUGCAUGUAAAGGCAAAUCUCUUCAAUUUGCAGCUCCUGAAAUCAUCCGUUGUGAACUGAAACAAAGGGGCCCUCUGAAACUUAAAAGGUAAAGGUACCCCUGACCGUUAAGUCCAGUCGCGGACGAUUCUGAGGUUGUGCGCUCAUCUCGCUCUAUAGGCCGAGGGAGCCGAC